AGUGAACGCUGGCGGUAGGCCUAACACAUGCAAGUCGAACGGCAGCACAGUAAGAGCUUGCUCUUACGGGUGGCGAGUGGCGGACGGGUGAGGCAUACAUCGGAUUCUACUUUUUCGUGGGGGAUAACGUAGGGACACUUACGCUAAUACCGCAUACAACCUACGGGUGAAAGCAGUGGAUAUUCGGACCUUGCGCGAUUGAUUGAGCCGAUGUCGUAUUAGCUAGUUGGCGGGGUAAAGGCCCACCAAGGCGACGAUCCGUAGCUGAUCUGAGAGGAUGAUCGGCCACACUGGAACUGAGACACGGUCCAGACUCCUACGGGAGGCAGCAGUGGGGAAUAUUGGACAAUGGGCGAAAGCCUGAUCCAGCAAUACCGCGUGGGUGAAGAAGGCCUUCGGAUUGUAAAGCCCUUUUAUUGGGAAAGAAAAGCAGCAGAAGAAUACCCCGCUGUUCUGACGGUACCCAAAGAAUAAGCACCGGCUAACUACGUG
This 492-nucleotide ribosomal RNA is filed under the name uncultured bacterium. Its description in RNAcentral is "partial 16S ribosomal RNA". It matches the Rfam family "Bacterial small subunit ribosomal RNA", at positions 29 to 507 of the family's 1533-position model. The record is from RNAcentral.